AUAAACAAAAUUAUAUUAAAAUGAGAUAGUAAAAUUUAACAUGUAUCAAUGCACUAGAAUCAAUCUGGAUUAUUACUAAAUAAUUAGUGGAUUUGCCAUGCACGUCUCAUUGAAAGAAAAAAAAAAUUGGUAUCACUUUAAAUGAGAUACUAAUAAUUAAUUAUUAAACUGCAUUUUAUUAAAAAAGAAAAAACCUAAAAAAAACCCUUGCAAGCACAAGAAAAGCAGACUAAGGGCCGAGCC
Molecule: long non-coding RNA, 243 nt
Filed under: Salvia miltiorrhiza (redroot sage)
Lineage: Eukaryota; Viridiplantae; Streptophyta; Magnoliopsida; Lamiales; Lamiaceae
Description: long non-coding RNA (SMIL_LNC011881)
Source: RNAcentral